Molecule: long non-coding RNA, 500 nt
Organism: Silurus meridionalis
Lineage: Eukaryota; Metazoa; Chordata; Actinopteri; Siluriformes; Siluridae
Exons: 3
Source: RefSeq, a predicted model, not a curated record
CACUUCCUCUUCAUAUAAUGGAGCAUGCACUAAUAUGUGGGAUUCUUUUCAAUGUCCCUGACCUUACUUUUUUUUCCAUAUCUCCAUUAUCUGUGUACUUGAUCCUCAAAAUGGCACUAGAACCCGAACUUCAUAUGCCUGGAGUGCUGCCACGUGCUUGUCUCUCAUCGGCCGGCGCCUGCACCCACACAGACAGAGAGAUGGACUUACACAUGGGUGCAGAGGUGAUGAUCUAAUUGCAAAAGAAGAAGAGAGAUGGAGAUAUCUGUAAAGACUGGAAUGCCUGAAGAUGAUGUCUAACUGCAUAUGAAAAAACAAAAACAGGUCAGAAUAGGACUUUACCUUAUUGAGGAAAUGAAAGCAUCACUGUAAUCAAGUCAUCAAAGCCCAUACAAUUGUAUGUAAAAAUGUUUUAAAGUUUUAAAAUGACAGUUAUUGUGAAAUUACACAGACAUAGCCGCACAUGGUGCAGCAUGUAGCACUUUGGUUUUUCGUUUGAU